CGGUGGAAGAUGAAACAAAAAACGCCUUCCAGACUCGAGCCUGAAUGACUCCGGGAUUUCAGAUCGUCUGUUACUACGAAAGGAAAGUAGCAACAAGAAUGCCAUGGGAAUGUUAUCAGGCACCAGGAGCCUUCUGAAUUGGCUUCUUUCAUCUGGGGAAUACAGCACACAGGAUGACAACAGCUGACAUUGGGUAAUAUUUUGCUUUAUCAAAAUAUUCUGAAGCAUUGGAUAAAUACAGAACAAGAUAACAAGAGUUCCCGGCAAAGAAGCCAGUAAAGAGGAUUAUGGAUGGAAUUUCUCUAUCUCAUCUCAUCAAAAUGUAUUUUAAGAGAACAAACCCAUGAAAACAAAGAAUAUGGAAAGGUGCCAAAUUCUGGAAACUAAAAGGCAAACAGUCCUGAAGGGAUGCUUCCAAGGAACAUACUUCUGUUUAUAGUUGACCAACAUGUUUCAGUGCCUGAAUUCAUACAAGACCAAGGCUAUAAGAUCAAGGACACAAAGAAGAGUUCCAAGGGCAGAGGAAAAGGAGCCUGUGAGCACAGUGGUACCCAUGGGACCGAGGAGCAUGCUGGAGAAUUGGUUGCCAAAUACAAAAAUGUAAACUUCCUUGAUGAAAUAAAAAACCAAACAAUAAA
Mesocricetus auratus (golden hamster) is the source of this 638-nucleotide long non-coding RNA. RefSeq lists it as uncharacterized. The transcript is spliced from 6 exons. Lineage: Eukaryota; Metazoa; Chordata; Mammalia; Rodentia; Cricetidae. The record is from RefSeq and is a predicted model, not a curated record.